This 348-nucleotide ribosomal RNA is filed under the name uncultured bacterium. RNAcentral describes it as "bacterial SSU rRNA". It matches the Rfam family "Bacterial small subunit ribosomal RNA", at positions 29 to 403 of the family's 1533-position model. The record is from RNAcentral.
AACGAACGCUGGCGGCAGGCCUAACACAUGCAAGUCGAGCGCCCGUAGCAAUACGGGAGCGGCAGACGGGUGAGUAACACGUGGGAACGUGCCCAAAGGUACGGAACAACUCCGGGAAACUGGAGCUAAUACCGUAUGUGCCCGAAAGGGGAAAGAUUUAUCGCCUUUGGAUCGGCCCGCGUCUGAUUAGCUAGUUGGUGAGGUAAUGGCUCACCAAGGCGACGAUCAGUAGCUGGCUGAGAGGAUGAUCAGCCACACUGGGACUGAGACACGGCCCAGACUCCUACGGGAGGCAGCAGUGGGGAAUAUUGGACAAUGGGCGCAAGCCUGAUCCAGCCAUGCCGCGUG